AACCAUAGAAACCUGCGGAGUACCUGCGGAAGGAUCAUUACCGAGUUUACAACUCCCAAACCCCUGUGAACAUACCACUUGUUGCCUCGGCGGAUCAGCCCGCUCCCGGUAAAACGGGACGGCCCGCCAGAGGACCCCUAAACUCUGUUUCUAUAUGUAACUUCUGAGUAAAACCAUAAAUAAAUCAAAACUUUCAUCAACGGAUCU
RNAcentral lists this unclassified non-coding RNA (207 nucleotides) under soil metagenome. RNAcentral's name for it is "partial contains 5.8S ribosomal RNA, internal transcribed spacer 2, and large subunit ribosomal RNA". The record is from RNAcentral.